AUUGUGGAAAUUUUGUGGAAGCACGCGUCCCAGUUUUUAGUUAGCGUCCGGUUAGUUCAGUAUCAUCAAUCGAAAGGAAUCAAACCCUUCGUUUCCGCAAAUUAAUUGAAAUUCGUUUUGAUCUCUCGUGUGUUUAAAACAAAUUAAAAAAAAAAAAAAACAUUCAAAAUGAAUGAAAUGACAAGUUUGUUAACUACUUUUACCAUCUUGGUAUUCCUAUUGGGAUUAUUAUACGCUUUUUACGUUACACUAUCUUAGGCGGUUGUAUUAAUUUUAAUUAAAAUAGUCAACUAGUUGUAUUCCAUUUAUUUUGUCAUCAUGUAUUAUUAAUAUUGAAGAGGAUGUAAUUUUUAACGCUUAACAAGAUGACGUAAUGACGGAUAUGGCGCCAAGAAAGGGAACAACAAAAACGGAUAUGCAAUUUCAAUCAUGUAGACAAUAUUUAAAUUGGCCAAAAUAAAAAUUACCCGCCUACAACAGCAAAGGUGAUGAAUUCAAAGACAAAUGGUUUUUUUUUAAAUGGAUACUUCUGUCUGUCAUGUGUGUUGUUUAAAAGCGGCCUGUUAAAAUCUCAACGUCAUCUUUAAAAACAAAAAAAAAAAUCAAAACAUCAACACUGCUGUAUUUAAUUUUUUUAUUUUUAGCAAUUAUUCGUCAUGUUCAGUUUAUUUUAAAGGGUGCACCUCUGUUGAAUUAUGCGUUUUGUUUAAUUUAGCUUACUUUUUGCAAUUUGUUAUAAUUUCAUUUCAAUCAAUGUCCAUCGAUUUCCCGGGAUUGAUGAGAUAUCCAUCAAGUUUUAUGGUAAAUGUAUUUAUAUUUUUUUUUAUUCGCUCUUACCAAUGAAAUAUUUGCAUUUUAUUUUUCUAUACACAAAAAAAAAGAAUAUUUAAUAAAAAUAACGAUCCGAUAAAUAAUUUUCUUGAUUUUAAGAAAUAAA
Long non-coding RNA from Episyrphus balteatus (marmalade hoverfly), 937 nucleotides. RefSeq lists it as uncharacterized. Lineage: Eukaryota; Metazoa; Arthropoda; Insecta; Diptera; Syrphidae. The record is from RefSeq and is a predicted model, not a curated record. The transcript is spliced from 3 exons.